UACGUAGGCAGCAAGCGUUGUUCGGAGUUACUGGGCGUAAAGGGUGUGUAGGCGGUUGCUUAAGUUUGGUGUGAAAUCUCCCGGCUCAACUGGGAGGGUGCGCCGAAUACUGAGUGACUCGAGUGCGGGAGAGGAAAGUGGAAUUCCUGGUGUAGCGGUGAAAUGCGUAGAUAUCGGGAGGAACACCGGUGGUGUAGACGGCUUUCUGGACCGUAACUGACGCUGAAACACGAAAGCGUGGGUAGCAAACAGG
RNAcentral lists this ribosomal RNA (253 nucleotides) under uncultured bacterium. Its description in RNAcentral is "partial 16S ribosomal RNA". It matches the Rfam family "Bacterial small subunit ribosomal RNA", at positions 524 to 776 of the family's 1533-position model. The record is from RNAcentral.